AGUGAACGCUGGCGGUAGGCCUAACACAUGCAAGUCGAACGGCAGCACAGUAAGAGCUUGCUCUUACGGGUGGCGAGUGGCGGACGGGUGAGGAAUACAUCGGAAUCUACUUUUUCGUGGGGGAUAACGUAGGGAAACUUACGCUAAUACCGCAUACGACCUACGGGUGAAAGCAGGGGAUCUUCGGACCUUGCGCGAUUGAAUGAGCCGAUGUCGGAUUAGCUAGUUGGGGGGGUAAAGGCCCACCAAGGCGACGAUCCGCAGCCGGUCGGGGAGGAUGGUAGCCGGCCUGAGAGGUUGACCGCGCACAAGGGGCCUGCGGGACGCAGCAGACGCGAAUGGGAGGCAGUAGUGGGGAAUCUGGCACAAUGGGAGGAAGUCGGAUGCGGCAACGUCGCGGGCGGGAAGACGGUCUGUGGGGAGUAAAACGCUGCAGGUUGUGACGAAGCGGUAGUGACGGUACUGGGUGAAGAAGCACCGGCUAACUACGUG
Molecule: ribosomal RNA, 492 nt
Filed under: uncultured bacterium
Lineage: Bacteria
Description: partial 16S ribosomal RNA
Rfam family: Bacterial small subunit ribosomal RNA
Source: RNAcentral